UUUAACUCAUGCUGCAUAAGCAUCAGUUAAAACACUUGUUGAGAUAAGCCCAAGAAAUAUGAAUCGGAGACUUAAAUAUAAAUCAGAAACCUCAAACUGUAUUACUGCAAUUGAAAAGCUGAAAGAUCAAUCAACAAAGGAAUCCAGGUGGAUCCAGACUGUGACGAGACAUCUAGUAAAAUUCCUCAUCAUUAUAUAUAGAUAUGUCUUGGGUCUCUCCUUUAGUAUUGUGGUGAGUCAGUGCAUGUCUGCUGGGCAGAUGUCAUUGUCUGUCCUCUGUGCUGUGAAAAGGAGACAAAGGCAGAUUUGAGGGAUAGUUUGUCCUCUCCAGAUACUGCAGUCUCCAUUGUCAUCCAGACGCCAAUGGGGAAGCAAAGUACCAAACCGGUUCUGCAGGGUCUUUGUGCUGCGCUGGAGACAUGCCCACGUGGGCUGACUGAUAACCUGCCCUUUGCUUACUGAUUGAUUAAUCGUAGAGAUGUGUGGUGCACAUUUUCUAAUCUGGCCUGCUAGUUAGUUCUUUCUGAUCUUAUCUUUUUUUGGCUUGUGCAAAAGUCAAGUCAUAAUCCAUCUUCUGUGAGAGAAAGGAUGCAGGAAUAUAUUUUUCGAUCUCAGAAUAAAACCAUUUUACAGUGAAAAGAUUAGCUUUAAUCACCUUAUUCAAGUUGCUGAUUCAUGUAGCAGUAAUCUUGAAAUUCAUGGCAGUGAGUCAAUGUAGUGCAAUACUUAUUUCACAGAAAACAGAGUGCUAUCAUCUUUUAGUCAUAUACUAAGUAGGGGAAAAGGGAGUCUCACAGACCUUCCUUUCUUAAACAUUCACAAUCAUCAUGAUCUUUGAUGAUCUAAGGUUCAAUGCAAUUGUUUAUUUUAAUAAUUUAUGUGUUAUGUUCUAAUUAAGCAAUGAAGGUCACCUAUAAGUAAGGUCACGCCAUAUCCUGGAUUUAGUGUUUAAAUUCCCAACAUACUGUAGAAUGUUUUAAGCAGCCGAUUGCUGUUUACAUCGGUGAUUAGAAUGGAAAAUAAA
Long non-coding RNA from Sinocyclocheilus anshuiensis, 1024 nucleotides. RefSeq lists it as uncharacterized. The transcript is spliced from 3 exons. The record is from RefSeq and is a predicted model, not a curated record. Lineage: Eukaryota; Metazoa; Chordata; Actinopteri; Cypriniformes; Cyprinidae.